UGUCCCCGGUCGUCCACGCUUCAUCCCGGUGGAGCACCGGUUCAUUCCGGUAGGGUCCCGGUUCAUCCCGGUAGAUGCCUGAUCACGCACUUGGGCUCCGCCGGCAUGAUAUUGAGACUGGGCCUUAACCGCAUUGUAAUACGAGGUAAAUUUACCGGCCGUCAUGUACGCAGUAAACAAUAACCUGCGACAGAAACCCACCUCCACACCUUCAAAACAAUAUAUUGAUUAUGCAAUUGCGGAUUUGUGCCAUUGGGGUCCUACUUUCCACGCCUUACGGCUGUUACAGAACAUGAGCCAACAGAGAGCUUUGGACCCCUAAAGCAAGCUGCUGCUUCCUAAGAAAGUGCGCAGUUUUCUGGAAGCAGUAAUCAUGUUCAGACCCCAACAACAACCUCAUCUGUAGCUGCUACAGGUCUUUGUUGUCCCCCUUAUCCACGAAAUACACGUGGAAGACGAGCCAUUGCAAUUUCUUCAAACAAUAGGAGUUUCCGGAAUCACAGAUUUUGUGUUUUGCCAAACACAACAGAGUUAGACUGCGGCUCCGACCAAAGAACAAAAAGAUCAACUUUAUAAAGCUUGUUUAGGAGAGAAAAGGAUACCAUUUGAGAAGAAUUACGACUCGGCUUAUUUCUAAAUUAAGCUAGAGGAACAGCACCCGAAACUUAAAGGAAUUGGGGGAUUGAAAUUAUUGAGGACGCAGGCCCGGAGUAAAUGUGAUCUAGAUGUUAUGAAAAUGCCACAAGGCGGUUAUAAUGUCAACUUUCUUGCUAAUCAUAACAAUAACGGCCAAGCUGUUUGUUACAUUCGUCCAAUACAGAGGAAUGUCUCAUUGGAUGAUGUUGAAGAAUUCACAGUAAGUAUAAAGUAUAAACACUCAAUUUGAACCUCUGACAGGGUUCUCUAGAAAACGGCGCUUCAAAAAAUUGUGAGUUUUACAAUAAUUGGUAAAAAUGUGGACAAGUACAAACUGAAUUGGGUAAAAACCUAUAAGUAAUUAUCAUAAUGUGUAAUUUUAACAGGGCCGAUUUCAUUUGCAAGCGUUCAUUGAUUGUCCUCUUUGUUAGAACCUGAAAUUUAUAUUUAAAACUAUCUUGGAAAAAGUCUUGAGUUUUACCAGCCGAUAAUUGUGGGAUCCUGCCAUUAUGAAAAGGCAAAUAUCCUUCUCAGGAAGCAAGACAGAUAAGUGAGGUGUUUAACACAGAAAUUGCAAUUUUAGACUAUUAUUUGAUGCCUAUUGAUUCCUUAGGAAUUUUUGCAACUCAUGAGAGCAAUAGACUUUGCAUUUCUUUCCAUAAAGGACCCUCAGUUAUCUGUCAUAUUUCUUCAUUAUGUUUUUGUAAGAAAUACCGGUGUCAUCUUAUAAGAUGAGACCGGUAUUCAAGAGGAUUGGAAUAAGAUGCUGUACAAUGAUUCCUAUGAGACUUCUGAGAGAGCAUGCACAAAUCUGGGGGAUAAGAUGUAUGUCUGUAAAUGUAUACAACAAUCAAUACACGAGAAAGUUUUGUACAAGGAUCUAUCUUUAAAUUGCUCAUUCUAGUUGUUAAGCAGUUUUUUUUAUUUUUGAGAGAGGAAAUGUGCAAAAUGUUUUAUCUUCUAUACAUUUAUUUUGAACUUAUACCUUGGAAGUUGGUACAUGUUAAUUUUUAUUUCUUAAUUGUCACAGAUUAUUGGAAUUAUAUGUCUUAAUUAAAACUAAGUGAUAUGCCUUUUGAUAGCUUAUAAUAGAGAGUGUAGUUGACAUAGAAAUUUGUUCGAAAAUAAUUAACUUAACAGUUACCAUUACUGUUUUAAUGACAGUGCUAUUUGUCUCCUAAGGUAGUCCAACUGUAAUCAUUUCCCGCGUUUUUUGUAAGGUCGGUUGACAUCGGCUAAUGUCGGUAAAUAACGCAACUGAAGUCGUGCGAUGUCCGUUGUGUUAGGUUUAUUAUUUACAAAGUAUAAAUCUUAAAUAAAAACAUGUUUUAUAUAAUUCCAUAAUAGAUUGUAUCGGUGAUAUACAUAGUUCAAUAUAUAACGACGUCAAAAUAGAUUUUCAUAAAAAUAUUGUGUAAAGUUGAACCGGAAGUAAUAUAUUUUCGCGACAACAUAAACAAACAACAAUCGUGAAUCGUAACCAAAAAGACGGUAACGAGUAGAAAAGAAGUAGAAAAAAAGAAAACAAGUCUUUCUGAUCAUUCAUAAUAUGAAAUAAGGCAAAGCCUCAAAGCGAGCUCGAUUAAUGUUUAAUAGAAGAAACUAACAAAAACUUUAAUAAAGAUGAUAUUUUAAUUAAAUUAUUUGGCACUUCCUAACAGAAGAACGUACGUGGAGUUCUUAAACACUGGU
Molecule: long non-coding RNA, 2328 nt
Organism: Dreissena polymorpha
Lineage: Eukaryota; Metazoa; Mollusca; Bivalvia; Myida; Dreissenidae
Exons: 3
Source: RefSeq, a predicted model, not a curated record